GGAGUUAGCCGGUGCUUCUUCUGCGAGUAACGUCACAGAUGUAAGGUAUUAACUUACACCCUUUCCUCCUCGCUGAAAGUGCUUUACAACCCGAAGGCCUUCUUCACACACGCGGCAUGGCUGCAUCAGGGUUUCCCCCAUUGUGCAAUAUUCCCCACUGCUGCCUCCCGUAGGAGUCUGGGCCGUGUCUCAGUCCCAGUGUGGCUGAUCAUCCUCUCAGACCAGCUAGGGAUCGUCGCCUAGGUGAGCCUUUACCUCACCUACUAGCUAAUCCCACCUGGGCUUAUCCAUCAGCGCAAGGCCCGAAGGUCCCCUGCUUUCCCCCGUAGGGCGUAUGCUGUAUUAGCAGUCGUUUCCAACUGUUAUCCCCCACAAAUGGGCAAAUUCCCAGGCAUUACUCACCCGUCCGCCGCUCGUCAUCUUCAAAAGCAAGCUUUUGAAAUGUUACCGCUCGACUUGCAUGUGUUAGGCCUGCCGCCAGCGUUCAAUCUGAGCAGANACAACUACUGA
Molecule: ribosomal RNA, 510 nt
Filed under: uncultured bacterium
Lineage: Bacteria
Description: partial 16S ribosomal RNA
Source: RNAcentral